This 809-nucleotide ribosomal RNA is filed under the name uncultured archaeon. Its description in RNAcentral is "bacterial SSU rRNA". It matches the Rfam family "Archaeal small subunit ribosomal RNA", at positions 85 to 879 of the family's 1478-position model. The record is from RNAcentral.
ACUGCUCAGUAACACGUGGCUAAUCUGCCCUUAGGACGAGAACAACCCCGGGAAACUGGGGCUAACUCUUGAUAGGUGAAGAACUCUGGAAUGAGUCUUUGCCUAAAAAGAUUCACGUUAUCCUCGUGAACCUGCCUAAGGAUGAGGCCGCGACCGAUCAGGUUGUUGGCGAGGUAAUGGCUCACCAAGCCUUUUACCGGUGCGGGCCGUGGGAGCGGGAGCCCGGAGAUGGGUACUGAGACAAGGACCCAGGCCCUACGGGGCGCAGCAGUCGCGAAACCUUUGCAAUACACGAAAGUGUGACAGGGCUAUCCCGAGUGCCAUCCGCUGAGGAAGGCUUUUACCCAGUCUAGAACGCUGGGGGAAUAAGGAGAGGGCAAGUCUGGUGUCAGCCGCCGCGGUAAUACCAGCUCUCCGAGUGGUGUGGAUGUUUAUUGGGCCUAAAGCAUCCGUAGCUGGCUAGGUAAGUCCCUUGUUAAAUCCACCGAAUUAAUCGUUGGAUCGCGGGGGAUACUGCUUGGCUAGGGGACGAGAGAGGCAGACGGUAUUUUCGGGGUAGGGGUGAAAUCCUAUAAUCCCGGGAAGACCACCAGUGGCGAAGGCUGUCUGCUAGAACGCGCCCGACGGUGAGGGAUGAAAGCUGGGGGAGCGAACCGGAUUAGAUACCCGGGUAGUCCCAGCUGUAAACGAUGCAGACUAGGUGUUUGGACGGCCACGUGCCGUUCUAGUGCCGCAGGGAAGCUGUUAAGUCUGCCGCCUGGGGAGUACGAUCGCAAGAUUGAAACUUAAAGGAAUUGGCGGGGGAGCAC